GGAAUGAACGCUAGCUACAGGCUUAACACAUGCAAGUCGAGGGGAAAGACAUCGAAAGCUUGCUUUUGAUGGGCGUCGACCGGCGCACGGGUGAGUAACGCGUAUCCAACCUGCCCACCACUUGGGGAUAACCUUGCGAAAGUAAGACUAAUACCCGAUGAUAUCCCUAGAAGACAUCUGAAAAGGGGAUUUAAAAGAUUUAUCGGUGAUGGAUGGGGGAUGCGUCUGAUUAGCUUGUUGGCGGGGUAACGGCCCACCAAGGCAACGAUCAGUAGGGGGUUCUGAGAGGAAGGUCCCCCCACAUUGGAACUGAGACACGGUCCAAACUCCUACGGGAGGCAGCAGUGAGGAAUAUUGGUCAAUGGACGGAAGUCUGAACCAGCCAAGUAGCGUGCAGGACGACGGCCCUAUGGGUUGUAAACUGCUUUUAUAAGGGAAUAAAGUGAGUCUCGUGAGACUUUUUGCAUGUACCUUAUGAAUAAGGACCGGCUAAUUCCGUG
This 500-nucleotide ribosomal RNA is filed under the name uncultured bacterium. Its description in RNAcentral is "bacterial SSU rRNA". It matches the Rfam family "Bacterial small subunit ribosomal RNA", at positions 27 to 507 of the family's 1533-position model. The record is from RNAcentral.